AUAUUUAAAUUUAAAUUUUUAAAUUUCAAACUUUAAAUUUAAGAUCAAAUUUAAAUUUAAUAAAUAUAAAAUAUCAAAUUUUAAAUUUCAAAAUUAAAAUAUCAAAAUUAAAAUUUAUAAUUUAUAAUUUAUAAUUUAAAAUUAUAAACUUUAAUUUUGAGAUUAUAAAUUAUAAAUUUUAAAAUUUUAAAAUUUUAAUUUUUAAAUUUUUAAAAUAAGAAUAGGGGUGGGAACAAUUAAUAAAAAUAAUUUAUUAUAAUAAAUUUAUAGAUUUUUUUUAAAAUUCUACUUAAACUUAAAUUUAAUAAAAAGAAUUUAUUAUAAUACUUAAAUAAAUUUAUUAUAAAUUUUAUUAUAAUAUUUAAAUAUAAAUAAUAUGUAUUAAUAUAGUAUAAUUAAUAAUUUUAUAAUAAAAAUAAUGUAUUAUAAUAUAUAAUAUAUUAUAUUUAUAUACUUUAGUUUUAAUUCAAUUUAUAAUUUUAAUUAGUUUGAAAUUAAGCAUUGGAAUAGCGCUAUUCCACCAAAAUGGUGGAAUAACAAAUUCCUUGCUAUCCCGGGAUAACCGGGAAUAGCAAGGUUUGACCGGGAUAAAAUAUUCCGGCCAAUUUUCAUCCCGUUUGGCGGAAUAACAGGGAUAACUUUCAUUAUCCCCGCUUAUCCCCCCAACCAAACGGGGUUAGUGUUAUGUCCAAAUUGGAAUCGUAACCUAGUCCAAACCGUGACACUUCAAUAGCCUCACAUCAGAUGAUGUGGGAGAGUGUGAUGAGUUUAUAAGUAACGGAUAAAUUAGUAAUAAUAACUAGGCUUAUGAUGUAUAACGGACAUACUGGUAAUAAUAAUUGUGCUUAAGCAUUCUGGUCCGUUGGUUUGGGUCUAACAUGUUAUUAUUGCUAGUAAAUCGGGUCGUUACACAAACUAAAUAAUUUACUGGGACCUAACUUCCUAGACUAUUUUCUUUUAUUUUAUUUUAUUUUAUUUUU
This 980-nucleotide long non-coding RNA is filed under the name Ananas comosus (pineapple). RNAcentral describes it as "long non-coding RNA (ACOM_LNC024559)". The record is from RNAcentral. Lineage: Eukaryota; Viridiplantae; Streptophyta; Magnoliopsida; Poales; Bromeliaceae.